RNAcentral lists this ribosomal RNA (510 nucleotides) under uncultured bacterium. RNAcentral describes it as "bacterial SSU rRNA". It matches the Rfam family "Bacterial small subunit ribosomal RNA", at positions 9 to 513 of the family's 1533-position model. The record is from RNAcentral.
GAGUUUGAUCAUGGCUCAGAUUGAACGCUGGCGGCAGGCCUAACACAUGCAAGUCGGGCGGUAGAGAGAAGCUUGCUUCUCUUGAGAGCGGCGGACGGGUGAGUAAUGCCUAGGAAUCUGCCUGGUAGUGGGGGAUAACGCUCGGAAACGGACGCUAAUACCGCAUACGUCCUACGGGAGAAAGCAGGGGACCUUCGGGCCUUGCGCUAUCAGAUGAGCCUAGGUCGGAUUAGCUAGUUGGUGAGGUAAUGGCUCACCAAGGCGACGAUCCGUAACUGGUCUGAGAGGAUGAUCAGUCACACUGGAACUGAGACACGGUCCAGACUCCUACGGGAGGCAGCAGUGGGGAAUAUUGGACAAUGGGCGAAAGCCUGAUCCAGCCAUGCCGCGUGUGUGAAGAAGGUCUUCGGAUUGUAAAGGCACUUUAAGUUGGGAGGAAGGGCAGGUAAAUUAAUACUUUGCUGUUUUGACGUUACGACGGAAUAAGCACCGGCUAACUCUGUGCCAGCC